CCUACGGGAGGCAGCAGUGGGGAAUAUUGGACAAUGGGGGCAACCCUGAUCCAGCCAUGCCGCGUGUGUGAAGAAGGCCCUCGGGUUGUAAAGCACUUUCAGUGAGGAAGAACGCCUGGUGGUUAAUACCCAUCAGGAAAGACAUCACUCACAGAAGAAGCACCGGCUAACUCCGUGCCAGCAGCCGCGGUAAUACGGAGGGUGCGAGCGUUAAUCGGAAUUACUGGCCGUAAAGCGCGCGUAGUUGGCUUGAUAAGCCGGUUGUGAAAGCCCCGGGCUCAACCUGGGAACGGCAUCCGGAACUGUCAAGCUAGAGUGCAGGAGAGGAAGGUAGAAUUCCCGGUGUAGCGGUGAAAUGCGUAGAGAUCGGGAGGAAUACCAGUGGCGAAGGCGGCCUUCUGGACUGACACUGACACUGAGGUGCGAAAGCGUGGGUAGCAAACAGGAUUAGAUACCCCUGUAGUC
This 465-nucleotide ribosomal RNA is filed under the name Vreelandella stevensii. Its description in RNAcentral is "partial 16S ribosomal RNA". It matches the Rfam family "Bacterial small subunit ribosomal RNA", at positions 338 to 795 of the family's 1533-position model. The record is from RNAcentral. Lineage: Bacteria; Pseudomonadati; Pseudomonadota; Gammaproteobacteria; Oceanospirillales; Halomonadaceae.